GUGGGGAAUAUUGGACAAUGGGCGAAAGCCUGAUCCAGCCAUGCCGCGUGAGUGAUGAAGGCCUUAGGGUUGUAAAGCUCUUUCGCCGAGGACGAUAAUGACGGUACUCGGAUAAGAAGCCCCGGCUAACUUCGUGCCAGCAGCCGCGGUAAUACGAAGGGGGCUAGCGUUGUUCGGAAUUACUGGGCGUAAAGCGUAUGUAGGCGGGUCGUUAAGUUAGGGGUGAAAUCCCAAGGCUCAACCUUGGAACUGCCCUUGAUACUGGCGAUCUUGAGUCCGGGAGAGGUGAGUGGAACUGCGAGUGUAGAGGUGAAAUUCGUAGAUAUUCGCAAGAACACCAGUGGCGAAGGCGGCUCACUGGCCCGGUACUGACGCUGAGAUACGAAAGCGUGGGGAGCAAACAGGAUUAGAAACCCGAGUAGUCC
Molecule: ribosomal RNA, 425 nt
Filed under: uncultured bacterium
Lineage: Bacteria
Description: partial 16S ribosomal RNA
Rfam family: Bacterial small subunit ribosomal RNA
Source: RNAcentral